CCUACGAGUGGCAGCAGUGAGGAAUAUUGGUCAAUGGACGGAAGUCUGAACCAGCCAUGCCGCGUGCAGGAAGACGGCUCUAUGAGUUGUAGACUGCUUUUGUACAAGGGUAAACCUGAAUACGUGUAUUCAGCUGAAAGUACUGUACGAAUAAGGAUCGGCUAACUCCGUGCCAGCAGCCGCGGUAAUACGGAGGAUCCAAGCGUUAUCCGGAUUUAGUGGGUUUAAAGGGUGCGUAGGCGGAUUGAUAAGUUAGAGGUGAAAUGUCCGCGCUGAACUCGGGAACUGCCUCUAAUAAUGUUGAUCUAUAGUGUAGAUGCGGUAGGCGGAUUGUCUGGUGUAUCGG
Molecule: ribosomal RNA, 346 nt
Filed under: uncultured bacterium
Lineage: Bacteria
Description: partial 16S ribosomal RNA
Rfam family: Bacterial small subunit ribosomal RNA
Source: RNAcentral